CUACACUCAACUUGCCGUUGGCGUUGAUGGGACUCCACACCCUUAUGUGUGUUUUCGCUGAGACUUAUGAGGUAUAUAUUAGUUUUAUGUUAUUUAUACAUGUGAUUGCACUUUGAUAUAUACAUUGAUGUACUGUGUGUGCCAGCAUACCGAUCCAGGGAUGGCACAGAUACACAGAGGCUUGACCGUUUGAGGUCGGGUCGCUACAAAAUGCAUGGGUUCACGACUAAGCUAGGUUUUGGACAAUGUUACGUCCUUCCAAUCAAUUAAUCAUUUUCUUUUCUAAGCGCAUACAGGUAGGAGGUGAAAAUAUCUACCAAUUUAUCACCGUAUCUCUUUUCUUGCUUAUACUCCAUGUGUUCCUAAAUAUAAGUCUUAGAGAUUUCACUAUAGACUACAUACGGAGCAAAAUGAGUGAACGUAUACUUUAAGAGGCGGCUAUAUACAUCCGAAUGUAGUCUCUAUAGUAGAAUCUCUAAAAAGACUUAUAUUUAGGAACGGAGGAAGUAUAUCGCAUGAAAUAUGCGGGAUGCAGUUGUGGCACAUUAGUUUCACCAUAAAAUUUCAAAUUAAGGCCUCCAUGGAGCUUGACCUCUAUUAGGAAUUGCCUAUGCAUGUUGUUAUUUUAAUUUUAGUCCUUUUCCCUAGCAAUUCGGCAUGUCUCAUUCUUUUUCAUCACCGAUUACAGAUAAAUGACAGAAGAGAGAAUGUCACAUGAAAAUCACUAGAAAAGGUUAUUUUGGGCAUAGCUAAUUAAUCAGGUGGGCAUCAGGGCAUGUGAAUCCAGAUUAGAUGGAUGUUCAACUGCUACAUCACUUCUAUCAUUGUAUGCUUACUAUCCUAACGUCAUGACUGGAGAUGGCAGGUUUGUGGGGGAGAUGUCCCAUGACAGCACAAUCCAGUGCAUAAUUGCUUUAGCAGCCGGAAAAAGAGUCAAGAUGCAGUGAUGCAACAUCAAGUGAGAAAUGGCAUGGUAGGAGCAAUUGCGGGGCCAGAUGCGAG
This 1002-nucleotide long non-coding RNA is filed under the name Triticum aestivum (bread wheat). RNAcentral's name for it is "long non-coding RNA (TAES_LNC025742)". The record is from RNAcentral. Lineage: Eukaryota; Viridiplantae; Streptophyta; Magnoliopsida; Poales; Poaceae.